GAGCCACCAUUCAAACUUUAAAACGAAGACAAGACAUUCAACUAUUCAACUUGUAUUUAUCUUUUCAAUAUCUAUUAUACUUUUUCUUCAGUUCCAGUUUAAGUUUCAUGAUGUUUUUUCACCCGUUUCAAAAUUUAUAAUGGGUGUGUAUGGGACGGAAUGUUGGGGCUAGAGUGAGACAGCUCAACUGCUAGAGUGAGAGGAGCAAAAAAAUUUAUCUUAAAAUCUUUUUUAAAACUGCUGCUGUGUCCGCAGCGUUUGCUCUACAGGUAUGAUUUUACCCUCAAAACGUAGCCAUCGCUGUCCUCUUUCAUCCAAUGUGUUUACUAUUGUACUAGGUGUUAUGGUUCUUUCAUAAAUGUCACCAAUGCACAGCCUCCUCCCUCCAACUCUUCCAUAGACUCUAAUGUUAAAAUGGCUCAGAAGGUUCGUUUGAAAAUCAGAAGAGCAUGGUGUCUUUCCACUGUCACCACGUCCAUAUAAUAAACUCCACAGGCAUGAAAACUGAGAAUUCAGUAGACUAGAAGCUGCUGUCGCUCACGGUGAAAGAAUUUUGUCAAUACGACUUUUACUUUUCAUUUGGGAACGAUUUGUUUCGGCCUGACUUUUCUGUUCAUUUUAAGCAGCAAAAGUGAGGCGCAUGUCUGUGUACGUGUGUAUGGAGCCAUUGGGUGCGGUCACUAUAGCAACCAGGCUCACACCUGCCUGCUUAACGAGCUCUGCCUGCCACUGUACCAAGAUUCAUCUUAAACACUUCUCUUUCAACUGCUGCUGUGUCCACAGUGUUACAGCCAUCAUUUUACCCUCAAAUUGUCGCCAUUAUUGUUCUCUUUCCAACACCGUAUCUUUCAAAGCUCAGGCAUUUAAACUUUUUAAACUGUGUGGAUCAAAGUGGAGGGAUCACAUUUGAGUCAUUCAGUGAUUCAAAGAAUAUGACCUUUUAAUAUUCAUUCAGAUGUUUUCUGACUCUGAAUGUUCUUUUCUCAUUUCUUAGGGUUUUCUAAUUUACAUUUAAAACAUUUUCAGUUUUUUUCCAACUCCUUCUUCUGUGUAACCUUCAGCUUUUAGCAGUUCAGCACCUUUGUUUUCAGGUUAAAUUCGUUUUUUUUUUUGUUUUUUUUUUAAUCUCAUUCAAUAUUUUUAACUCAAAAUUCAGCAAUUAAUUCAUUUCAGUGCAUACAUUCAGAUUCAAGCAUUCACACUGCAGUUUCUUCAGAAAAUGCACUUUCUAGUUAGUGUGAAUGCUUGAAAAGCAUUCACAGUAUUGUUCUUCUAAUCUUUAUUAUUAGUGUGAAUGCUUGAAAAGCAUUCACAGUAUUGUUAUUCUAAUCUUUAUUAUUAUUAGUGUGAAUGCUUGAAAAGCAUUCACAGUAUUGUUAUUCGAAUCUUUAUUAUUAUUAUUAUAUAUUCCGUACGUUUUUUGGCAUCUCACUCCUUCAAAACCGUUCAACUUAGAAAAACCAUUCAAACACCGUUAGAUUCCUAUUCUUUUGGACAACACUGCUUCUAUUUUUCAUAUUUUUAACAUUUAUAUUUUUAAUUUUAUUCAACUUUAUUCAACAAAAAUUUAUAAUGUAUUUCAAUGGGGAGACCCUUCAAAUCCUCAUUCAACUUACUCAUUUUUAAACUCUUACUACUUCCACAUACAUUGACAUAGAGCCACCAUUCAAACUUUAAAACGAAGACAAGACAUUCAACUAUUCAACUUGUAUUUAUCUUUUCAAUAUCUAUUAUACUUUUUCUUCAGUUCCAGUUUAAGUUUCAUGAUGUUUUUUCACCCGUUUCAGAGUUUAUAAUGGGUGUGUAUGGGACGGAAUGUUGGGGCUAGAGUGAGGCAGCUCAAC
Astatotilapia calliptera (eastern happy) is the source of this 1844-nucleotide long non-coding RNA. The record is from Ensembl. Lineage: Eukaryota; Metazoa; Chordata; Actinopteri; Cichliformes; Cichlidae.